Molecule: non-coding RNA, 63 nt
Organism: Rattus norvegicus (Norway rat)
Lineage: Eukaryota; Metazoa; Chordata; Mammalia; Rodentia; Muridae
Source: Rfam
GGGGAUUUAGCUCAGUGGUAGAGCGCUUGCCUAGCAAGCACAAGACCCUGGGUUCAGUCCCCA